Molecule: ribosomal RNA, 666 nt
Filed under: uncultured Gammaproteobacteria bacterium
Lineage: Bacteria; Pseudomonadati; Pseudomonadota; Gammaproteobacteria
Description: bacterial SSU rRNA
Rfam family: Bacterial small subunit ribosomal RNA
Source: RNAcentral
UAAUGGAUGAGCCCAAGUCAGAUUAGCUUGUUGGUAAGGUAACGGCUUACCAAGGUUACGAUCUGUAGCUGGUCUGAGAGGAUGAUCAGCCACACUGGGACUGAGACACGGCCCAGACUCCUACGGGAGGCAGCAGUGGGGAAUAUUGCACAAUGGGCGAAAGCCUGAUGCAGCAAUGCCGCGUGUGUGAAGAAGGCUCUAGGGUUGUAAAGCACUUUCAAUAAGGAAGAAAAGUAUAAAGUUAAUAACUUUAUGCAUUGACUUAACUUAUACAAGAAGCACCGGCUAAUUCCGUGCCAGCAGCCGCGGUAAUACGGAAGGUGCAAGCGUUAAUCGGAAUUACUGGGCGUAAAGCGCGCGUAGGCUGUUAUCUAAGUCGAAUGUGAAAUCCUCGGGCUCAACCUGGGAACUGCAUCCGAAACUGGAUAACUAGAGUAUGGGAGAGGUAAGUAGAAUUUCCGGUGUAGCGGUGAAAUGCGUAGAUAUCGGAAGGAAUACCAGUGGCGAAGGCGGCUUACUGGACCAAUACUGACGCUAAGGUGCGAAAGCGUGGGGAGCGAACAGGAUUAGAUACCCUGGUAGUCCACGCCGUAAACGAUGAGAACCAGAUGUUGGGGGGGUUAGCCUCUCAGUGUCGCAGCUAACGCAUUAAGUCUCCGCCCUGGG